GGUAGGAAAAGUGAGUAGGCUAAUCGUGAUGGGAACACUGAUUUCAAGCCAUCUUUUGUGCUUUCCCUACUUUUGGAGCAUCUAGCGUGCGAAGAAGCAAGAACCAGCUUACUUUUGAGCAAAAACAGCCUUGUGUUCCUGCAAUCAGUGAUGAAAAUACUCGAGCCACUGGAGAUUUCUACUCCUCAGCCUCACUGCUGUCUGGCGCAGGCAUUAAUGCAUUAUCAUCAGAGUCAGAGACAUGGGCCGGUUCCUUUUUGCGAGAGGGGUUCAGCCUCUCCUUGCCCAGCCACUAUGGCUGAAACAUGGACUUUAUUUGAACUUUUGAAGGUUUAAAGAUAACCCAGGACCUGAACCUUUUUAACACAGUUGUUAAAAGUGAUGCCAAAUCCAUUGUUGACAUUGUGUUGAUGGAUAUUUCUGAGGCACCAUGAUGCAUUCAGAACUUGAUUACGAGCUGCAGAGGUCUUUUACAUAAGCAAAAUUUGCUUUAUCU
This is a non-coding RNA of Nelumbo nucifera (sacred lotus), 496 nucleotides long. The record is from RefSeq and is a predicted model, not a curated record. NCBI's taxonomy places the organism in Eukaryota, Viridiplantae, Streptophyta, Magnoliopsida, Proteales, Nelumbonaceae.